UGCGCCCAUAGAAUGCAAGUCGAACGGACUUAACUUUUUUGUUUACAAAAAAGAGCGGUUAGUGGCGGACUGGUGAGUAACACGUAAGCAAUCUGCCUAUCAGAGAGGAAUAACACUGAGAAAUCAGUGCUAAUACCACAUAUGCUGACACUAUCGCAUGAUAGAGUUAGGAAAGGAGAAAUCCGCUGAUAGAUGAGCUUGCGGCUGAUUAGCUAGUUGGUAAGGUAGAGGCUUACCAAGGCAACGAUCAGUACCCGGACUGAGAGGUUGAACGGGCACAUUGGGACUGAGAUACGGCCCAGACUCCUACGGGAGGCAGCAGUCGGGAAUAUUGCGCAAUGGAGGGAACUCUGACGCAGUGACGCCGCGUAUAGGAAGAAGGUUUUCGGAUUGUAAACUAUUUUAGUCAGGGAAGAAAAAAGACAGUACCUGAAGAAUAAGCCCCUGCAAACUACGUGCCAGCAGCCGCGGUAAUACGUAGGGGGCAAGCGUUAUCCGGAAUUAUUGGGUGUAAAGGGUGCGUAGACGGGUAAGCAAGUUAGUUGUGAAAUUCCAAGGCUCAACUUUGGAACUGCAACUAAAACUGUUUGUCUUGAGUAUCGGAGAGGAAAGUGGAAUUCCUAGUGUAGCGGUGAAAUGCAUAGAUAUUAGGAGGAACACCAGUGGCGAAGGCGACUUUCUGGACGAAAACUGACGUUGAGGCACGAAAGUGUGGGGAGCAAACAGGAUUAGAUACCCUGGUAGUCCACACUGUAAACGAUGGAUACUAGGUGUAGGAUGUGUUAAAACAUUCUGUGCCGUCGCAAACGCAGUAAGUAUCCCACCUGAGGAGUACGGCCGCCAGGUUGAAACUCAANGAAAUUGACGGGGACCCCNCACAAGCNGUGGAGUAUGUGGNUUUAAUUCGAAGCAACNCCGAAGAACCUUUACCCAGGGNCUUGACCAUGCCAAGGUGAAUACCCCAAGAAAAUUGUNGUAGCCUCUUCCGGAAGCNCUUNGUNCCNNGGUGGGUGNCCAUGGNUUGUUCCUNCACCUCCGUGNCCCCUGAAAAUUUUUGGG
Molecule: ribosomal RNA, 1059 nt
Filed under: uncultured bacterium
Lineage: Bacteria
Description: bacterial SSU rRNA
Rfam family: Bacterial small subunit ribosomal RNA
Source: RNAcentral